AACGAACGCUGGCGGCAUGCCUAACACAUGCAAGUCGAACGAGACCUUCGGGUCUAGUGGCGCACGGGUGCGUAACGCGUGGGAACCUGCCCUUAGGUUCGGAAUAACUCCCCGAAAGGGGUGCUAAUACCGGAUAAUGUCUUCGGACCAAAGAUUUAUCGCCUUUGGAUGGGCCCGCGUUGGAUUAGCUAGUUGGUAGGGUAAAAGCCUACCAAGGCGACGAUCCAUAGCUGGUCUGAGAGGAUGAUCAGCUACACUGGGACUGAGACACGGCCCAGACUCCUACGGGAGGCAGCAGUGGGGAAUAUUGGACAAUGGGCGAAAGCCUGAUCCAGCAAUGACGCGUGAGUGAUGAAGGCCUUAGGGUUGUAAAGCUCUUUUACCCGGGAUGAUAAUGACAGUACCGGGAGAAUAAGCUCCGGCUAACUCCGUG
This 433-nucleotide ribosomal RNA is filed under the name uncultured bacterium. RNAcentral describes it as "partial 16S ribosomal RNA". It matches the Rfam family "Bacterial small subunit ribosomal RNA", at positions 29 to 507 of the family's 1533-position model. The record is from RNAcentral.